This 467-nucleotide ribosomal RNA is filed under the name uncultured bacterium. Its description in RNAcentral is "bacterial SSU rRNA". It matches the Rfam family "Bacterial small subunit ribosomal RNA", at positions 28 to 508 of the family's 1533-position model. The record is from RNAcentral.
GACGAACGCUGGCGGCGUGCCUAACACAUGCAAGUCGAACGGAGUUAAGACUUCGGUUUUAACUUAGUGGCGAACGGGUGAGUAACGCGUGAGAAACCUGCCUUUCAGUGGGGGACAACAGUUGGAAACGACUGCUAAUACCGCAUAAUGUUAUUUGGGGGCAUCCCCGGAUAACCAAAGAUUUAUUGCUGAAAGAUGGUCUCGCGUCUGAUUAGCUAGUUGGUGAGGUAACGGCUCACCAAGGCGACGAUCAGUAGCCGGUCUGAGAGGAUGAACGGCCACAUUGGGACUGAGAUACGGCCCAGACUCCUACGGGAGGCAGCAGUGGGGAAUAUUGGGCAAUGGGGGAAACCCUGACCCAGCAACGCCGCGUGAAGGAAGAAGGCCUUCGGGUUGUAAACUUCUUUUACCUAGGGACGAACAAAUAGACGGUACCUCGGAGAAAAAGACAACGGCUAACUACGUAG